This is a non-coding RNA of Oryza glaberrima (African rice), 200 nucleotides long. NCBI's taxonomy places the organism in Eukaryota, Viridiplantae, Streptophyta, Magnoliopsida, Poales, Poaceae. The record is from Rfam.
UUUAAGUGCAACCAUAAAUUUUCGCAUCUAACUUUGAUCGUUCGUCUUAUUUAUUUUUUUUAUAAUUACUAUUUUUGUUGUUAUGAGAUGAUAAAACAUGAAUAAUACUUUACUGUUAGCUUAUGUUUUUAUUUUUUAAAAAUUUUUUUAAUAAGACGAACGGUCAAAGUUAAACGUGAAAAAUCAUAGCCGCACAUAAA